UGGGGAAUAUUGGACAAUGGGCGCAAGCCUGAUCCAGUCAUGCCGCGUGGGUGAAGAAGGCCUUCGGGUUGUAAAGCCCUUUUGUUGGGAAAGAAAACUUUCCGAUUAAUACUCGGAGAGAAUGACGGUACCCAAAGAAUAAGCACCGGCUAACUUCGUGCCAGCAGCCGCGGUAAUACGAAGGGUGCAAGCGUUACUCGGAAUUACUGGGCGUAAAGCGUGCGUAGGUGGUUCGUUAAGUCUGAUGUGAAAGCCCUGGGCUCAACCUGGGAAUUGCAUUGGAUACUGGCGGGCUAGAGUACGGUAGAGGGUAGUGGAAUUCCUGGUGUAGCAGUGAAAUGCGUAGAGAUCAGGAGGAACAUCCGUGGCGAAGGCGACUACCUGGACCAGUACUGACACUGAGGCACGAAAGCGUGGGGAGCAA
This 424-nucleotide ribosomal RNA is filed under the name uncultured bacterium. RNAcentral describes it as "bacterial SSU rRNA". It matches the Rfam family "Bacterial small subunit ribosomal RNA", at positions 355 to 771 of the family's 1533-position model. The record is from RNAcentral.